CGCGGCGACACAAGUGGUCUGCCGCUUGCAACAUCGCAAGAAGUCCACUGAACCUUAUCAUUUAGAGGAAGGAUAAGUUGUAACAAGGUUUCCGUGGGUGAACCUACGGAAGGAUCAUUG
This 120-nucleotide ribosomal RNA is filed under the name Calamus fissus. RNAcentral's name for it is "partial 18S ribosomal RNA". It matches the Rfam family "Eukaryotic small subunit ribosomal RNA", at positions 1723 to 1831 of the family's 1831-position model. Lineage: Eukaryota; Viridiplantae; Streptophyta; Magnoliopsida; Arecales; Arecaceae. The record is from RNAcentral.